This is a non-coding RNA of Acanthosepion pharaonis, 110 nucleotides long. The record is from the annotation of a GenBank genome assembly. Lineage: Eukaryota; Metazoa; Mollusca; Cephalopoda; Sepiida; Sepiidae.
GCCCGUAUCAGGUUGAAACACUGGUUCCCGUACGAUCAUUGAAGUUAAGCAACGUCUAGCCAGGUCAGUACCUAGAUGAGUGACCGCUUGGGAAUACCAUGUGUCGUAAG